UACGUAGGGGGCAAGCGUUGUCCGGAUUUAUUGGGCGUAAAGAGCGUGUAGGCGGCCUGACAGGUCUGCUGUGAAAACUCGGAGGCUCAACCUCGAGAUGUCGGCGGAAACCGUCUGGCUAGAGUCCGGAAGAGGGAGAGUGGAAUUCCGUGGUGUAGCGGUGAAAUGCGCAGAUAUCAGGAAGAACACCUAUGGCGAAGGCAGCGUCUCCUGGGACGGUACUGACGCUGAGACGCGAAAGCGUGGGGAGCGAACAGG
This 258-nucleotide ribosomal RNA is filed under the name uncultured bacterium. RNAcentral's name for it is "partial 16S ribosomal RNA". It matches the Rfam family "Bacterial small subunit ribosomal RNA", at positions 524 to 776 of the family's 1533-position model. The record is from RNAcentral.